Molecule: ribosomal RNA, 391 nt
Filed under: Chrysophyceae sp.
Lineage: Eukaryota; Chrysophyceae
Description: partial small subunit ribosomal RNA
Rfam family: Eukaryotic small subunit ribosomal RNA
Source: RNAcentral
AUUCCAGCUCCAAUAGCGUAUACUAAAGUUGUUGCAGUUAAAAAGCUCGUAGUUGAAUUUCUGGAUGUGAAAGGUGGUCGGCACCUCACGGUGUCUGUACUUAUCAUUCGCGUCCAUCCUCGGGAGGAACAUGUGGACACUUAAGUGGGUCUGCUUGGGAAUCUCGUCAUUUACUGUGAGCAAAAUAGAGUGUUCAAAGCAGGCUUAUGCCGCUGAAUAUAUUAGCAUGGAAUAAUAAGAUACGACUUUGGUCUAUUUUGUUGGUUUACAUUCCAAAGUAAUGAUUAAUAGGGAUAGUUGGGGGUAUUCGUAUUCAAUUGUCAGAGGUGAAAUUCUUGGAUUUAUGGAAGACGAACUACUGCGAAAGCAUUUACCAAGGAUGUUUUCAUCG